UACGAGGGGAGCAAGCGUUGUUCGGAAUCAUUGGGCGUAAAGGGCGCGUAGGCGGCAGUACAAGUCUGGGGUGAAAGCCCUCGGCUUAACCGAGGAAUUGCCUUGGAAACUGUACGGCUUGAGUAUUGGAGAGGAAAGCGGAAUUCCCAGUGUAGCGGUGAAAUGCGUAGAUAUUGGGAGGAACACCGGUGGCGAAGGCGGCUUUCUGGACAAUCACUGACGCUGAGGCGCGAAAGCCAGGGGAGCAAACGGG
Molecule: ribosomal RNA, 253 nt
Filed under: uncultured bacterium
Lineage: Bacteria
Description: partial 16S ribosomal RNA
Rfam family: Bacterial small subunit ribosomal RNA
Source: RNAcentral